CAUGAGCUAGUACCUACUGUGAGUACUGAAAAACACUAAUAAUAAAGAUACAUGUGCGGAAACAAAGCUGGAUAUGACAUAUGGUUUAAAUGUACUAAAACAAUCUCUUGAAUAAUGAGCCUGAAAAUAAUACUGUAAAGAAUAUCAAUAACAGCUAAAAAACUAACUAAUUGUCUAAAAAUAUCUGAAAGUCUCUAAAUGACUGACUGUAGAGUCGAUGAGACAAGUCCCCAACCAACUCUGGCUCAGAAUAUAAAAACUCACCAAUACUAUUGAUGCUGAUGCGCUGGAAUGUCUAAGUGCGGUUGGGAACCUGAACAUCCGAACCUAUAAUAUGAGACAUCAUAGCGCAAGAAAUAAGUAUACGAUCAGUACUUUGAAUGUACUGGUAUGCU
Molecule: long non-coding RNA, 395 nt
Filed under: Capsicum annuum
Lineage: Eukaryota; Viridiplantae; Streptophyta; Magnoliopsida; Solanales; Solanaceae
Description: long non-coding RNA (CANN_LNC009890)
Source: RNAcentral